Molecule: long non-coding RNA, 643 nt
Filed under: Homo sapiens (human)
Lineage: Eukaryota; Metazoa; Chordata; Mammalia; Primates; Hominidae
Description: HSALNT0128317
Source: RNAcentral
UGAAACACAAAGAAAUCUGGAGAAACAGUGACUUAUAUUAAGAAAAACAAUUUUAACUUACUAUUUGCAGGAGCAGUGGGGAGCAAAUAUUAGAUGUGUGGUCAUAUCAAAAAAGAAUAUUAAAUUCUAUCUUAUAAAGCUGGAGCAAUCACAACAUGUAGUUGAGACUUUUUUUAAAAGGCACAAAAGACAAUAAAAGACUGAAAAGAAAAUUAAAUUGAUAUUAUAUCUUCUGAGUCUGUGGACAUGGCCAACUGUGCACGGUGCAGCAGGAGCUGGAGGGGAUGGGCACUGUGUCAGCAUGAAAGAGGACCAAAAAGAAGGAUAAAGAGGAGAGAAGAAGGUGGAGAAGGAAAGAAAGAAAUCAAGAGGAGGAAUAGAGAGGAGGAAGAGAAGGAAGGAGAAGGAGAACAAGAAAGAAGAAAGAAGGGAAUUUCCACAAAUAAUAUCCAGUGACCUGAGCUUGAAACACUCAGGAGUAACUCAGCCAAAUUGCUCUCCCUGGGAGUCAAGGGAGAAGCAUAAGGGUGGCAAUGAGGAAGGACUCCAGUCUUCCUUCAGAAUUCACUAUGUGGAAGCCUAACAGGAAGGCAGCUGAAAAAGUGGAAAUGUAGUUUGCGGAGCCCCAGACCUACUAAGACAA